Molecule: ribosomal RNA, 310 nt
Filed under: uncultured bacterium
Lineage: Bacteria
Description: partial 16S ribosomal RNA
Rfam family: Bacterial small subunit ribosomal RNA
Source: RNAcentral
AAGAGACAGCAGUCGCCACGGUAAUACGUAGGUGGCAAGCGUUGUCCGGAAUUAUUGGGCGUAAAGCGCGCGCAGGCGGAUCAGUUAGUCUGUCUUAAAAGUUCGGGGCUUAACCCCGUGAUGGGAUGGAAACUGCUGAUCUAGAGUAUCGGAGAGGAAAGUGGAAUUCCUAGUGUAGCGGUGAAAUGCGUAGAUAUUGGGAAGAACACCAGUGGCGAAGGCGGCUUUCUGGACGGCAACUGACACUGAGGCUCGAAAGCCAGGGGAGCGAACGGGAUUAGAUACCCCUGUAGUCCCUGUCUCUUAUACA